This is a long non-coding RNA of Neofelis nebulosa (Clouded leopard), 1738 nucleotides long. RefSeq lists it as uncharacterized. The record is from RefSeq and is a predicted model, not a curated record. NCBI's taxonomy places the organism in Eukaryota, Metazoa, Chordata, Mammalia, Carnivora, Felidae. The transcript has 6 exons.
UUUACCUAAAGCAAGGGCUACAGCCUGGCCAUUCCAUCCCAAGGGGGCGGACACCUUUUGCUUCCACCCCUCCAUCAGAGUCAGUAGAUAUUUACUGGAACCCUAGCGGUGAGAGCGCUCCCUGCUUCUCCAGGCGCAGCGGAAGGCUUUCGCUUCCUUCGAGAGCCGGCUCCAGGAAGUGGGCGGGGUUUUACGCCGGCCGGAAAGACAGUUCCAGAGGUGUCCUGCUCUGCGCCCGGGAGCGCAGGGUUUAGAGGCAGGGAAAAGCGAUCUGAAUGAGUGCAGGCUCCGUGUCUGGGGCUCCCAUGAAUUCCAUGAAUUCCACGCUUUUCCAGCUAGUGAUGGGUUUGUGAAAUUGUUACUUUUCUUCUUACUCCCUUGUGGCUGCCGCGUCUCCCUUCCAGUGCUGUUUAAAAGCAUCAGUUGCAGUUAGGUGUGACCAUGUGAUCGUGUUCUGGCAAACAGGAAGAAGAAGAAAAGGGGAAAGGAAAUAAUGAAGAAACGGCCAUUGCUCUGCCAUUUUUCUAUCAGCUUUAGCUGAAAAAAACUGCUUUGAUGUGCUUCAUUACAAGUUAUGUACUUAACAAUAUAAAGGAUAAAGCAUUUUGCUGAAUUGGGAGAGAGAUUUCAACAUUUUCUAAAGGAAAUUCACACCUAAAAUGGAGAAAAGGUUUACAGUGAAGGACUCUGAUGUAUAAAGAAUUAAGAAGAUCAGAGAGGUUCCUGGGAAAUUAAGUAUUCAAAGCCAGAAGACCAAGUUUCUACGUUCUAGUCAUCCUGUAACCCUACUCCUGUCUGGCUUCUCAUUUGAGGGACCUAUCACAGCUAUCUGACACAACCAUGGUGAUAAACAUAAUCAGCACAGGCACUCCCAUUUUUAGACUUUCAAGGAAAAUAGACUUUGACAUACAUAAAUCUGACUUGAUCUUUAAAACCCUACCAAUAAAAUAGCCCUCUAAUCACACCAUAAGUUUACCAUCAAGAUUUUCACCAAGUGAAAGAUUUUCACAAAGCUAAAGUGACACACGUAUGGAACUAUCACGAAGAGAGAGUAAAUAUAGUGAGUGACCUCUGAGAAACAACAGGUACAAACACUAGGUUUUGUUCCAGAUGCUCGAGCAAGCUGAGGUCUACCCACUAUUUAAGUGGGAUAGGUAUUUCCCUCAAUUAGUUAUGGAGUCAUACACAACAUCUCUAAAUGGUUCAGAACUCAACUUCUUGCCAGAAAGUUAAAGUAGAACUGUACAGAGUUUCUACUUUAAAGAUGUGGGUAUGCAACUUUUGAAAGCAAAUUGCAAGGUAAAAGAACCCACACUAGAUUAGGUCAUUUGAAAAACACUGUUUUAUAGCAUCUUCAAAUGGCGUAUCUGUGCGGUCAUGUUCCCUGCUGAAAUGUGCUCUCUUAUUUUCUCUCUCUCUGAAACAUUGAUAAUACUGGAAUUCUACUAAAGUAAGUAGUUUAGUGGUUUGGGAACUAAUAUCACUGAAGUAAAAAAAAAUUAUAUUUGGAAAUAUUGAAUAACCUUUUUAUCUCUCUUUAAUAAAGAAUGAAACAGACCAAUUUACCAUGUUAAAGGGAAGUCUAUGAUCUAUGAUCGAUAUCUCUUUGAUAUUUAAGUAGAUUUUUUAUUGGUUUUUGUUUAUAAAACAGUAUCCACUGUUUGCAGGCCUUUCCUAACAGCCUAAUUGUCUUGUCAGUUUGAUUUUAUAUUUUUUAAAAAUUAAAGCUGCUGUAUUA